UACGAAGGGGGCUAGCGUUGUUCGGAAUUACUGGGCGUAAAGCGCGCGCAGGCGGUUUCUUAAGUCUGAUGUGAAAGCCCACGGCUCAACCGUGGAGGGUCAUUGGAAACUGGGGAACUUGAGUGCAGAAGAGAAAAGCGGAAUUCCACGUGUAGCGGUGAAAUGCGUAGAGGUGUGGAGGAACACCAGUGGCGAAGGCGGCUUUUUGGUCUGUAACUGACGCUGAGGCGCGAAAGCGUGGGGAGCAAACAGG
This 253-nucleotide ribosomal RNA is filed under the name uncultured bacterium. RNAcentral describes it as "partial 16S ribosomal RNA". It matches the Rfam family "Bacterial small subunit ribosomal RNA", at positions 524 to 776 of the family's 1533-position model. The record is from RNAcentral.